This 2133-nucleotide long non-coding RNA is filed under the name Homo sapiens (human). Its description in RNAcentral is "ZNF710 antisense RNA 1". The record is from RNAcentral. Lineage: Eukaryota; Metazoa; Chordata; Mammalia; Primates; Hominidae.
CUCAGCCUCCCGAGUAGCUGGGAUUACACGCAUGUGCCAACACGCCCAGCUAAUUUUUGUAUUUUUAGUAGAGACGGGGUUUCAUCAUGUUAGCCAGGCUGGUCUCGAACUCCCAACCUCAGGUGAUCUGCCCACCUUGGGAUUUGCCUCCCAAAGUGUUGGGAUUAUAGGCGUGAGCCAGUACGCCCAGCCUAACAAAUUCUAAAAGAGCUGUAACACUGACAGUCUCUUCAUGGUCCCAGUUAUUUCCAAAAGGGCACGUUCUGCUCUGGUUCCUUCUGGUGGGUUAGCAACAGGGCAGAUCCACUAGAAUACAGCUCUCAAAAUCUACUGCACAUGGACUCACCCAAAGUGCUUUACAAAAAUCCUGAUCCCAGGCCACAUUCCAGAUCACUUACAUUUGAACCUCAGGUCCAAACUCAGGCAUCAGCAUUUAAAACAUUCCUCAGGUGACUCCCAACAUGCAGCUGAUUUGCCAGCCAGCCCUCUGCAGUCUGGAUCAAAGGUUCUCAACAUGAGGUCCCUGAACCAGCGGCUGCUUUGCUAAGAACUGGGAACUUGUGGGAAAGGCAGCGUCUCAGACCCCACCCCAGAUCUACUGAAUCAGAAACUCUGGGGGUGGGGCCAGCACUUUGUUUCAACAAGCCCUCCAGGAGACUCUGAGGCACUAGUCUGGUCCAGUGGGUCUCAAACUUGACUGCAACAAAUGGCCCAGAGAUCUUUUUGAAGUGUAGAGUCUGACUCAGCAGGUGUGGGUGGAGCUGAGAGGCCAGCAAGAUCCCAGGUGGGGCCGAGGCUGCUCAUCCUCCUACCACAUUUUGAGUAGCAAGGAGCUACCAAGAGCAGCCGACGGGGUUUCAUUCUCGUCUACUGGAAGCAACCUUAAUAGACAACUGAAAAACAAAACAAAACAACUGAGAUACCUGUUUCUGCCAGAAAACCCAGGCCAUUCACUGGUCAGCUGUUCCAAAACCAGAGUUAAGCUACUGCAGCUGUUCCCGCGUGCCUGCCUGCAUUCCAGUAAAUAAUCCCACGUGGCAAGUCAGCUCACCUGGUUACUGCCAAAGCAUGUUCCCAGCUGGUGUGACUCAGAGGCACACCAGAAUUUCUUUAUUAUAAUUUGGCGAUAGGGUCUUGCUUUGCCACGCAGGCUGGAGUGCCGUGGUCCGAUCACAGUUCACUACAGCCUUGAACUCCUGGGCUCAAGUGAUCUUCCUGCCUUAGACUCCCAAGUAGCUGAGAUUAUAGGCACACGCCACCACACCCAGCUAAUUUAAAAAUAUUUUUGUAGAGACCAGGUCUCACUAUGUUGCCUGGUUUGGUAUCAAACUCCUGGCCUUAAGGGAUCCUCCUGCCUCGGCCUCCCAAAGUGCCAGGAUUAUAGGUGUGAGCCAUCAUGCCCAGCCAGAGCACCAGAAAUAGCUCCCAACUGUAGAAGGAGCCUCCCUGUAGCGCUGUUGGCUCCCUCCUUCCUGUGGAGUCUCCACAGCAGUCCCUCCCCACCAUGAGGCCAGAGAGGCUAACAGCUUUGCUGUCACCCAACAGAAAUGCUUUAAGUACUGACCACUGCUGGAGGGAAAGGCUACCGCUAACACUUGGGAUGUUUUCUGACAGCCUCUGAAACUUCUACGAACUGCUGAGGCAUAGGAUCCUCUCCUAAAAUUUCUCCCAGAUCUUAACGUCAGGGCUGUCUGGCCCUUUCAUGAGUAUGUGGGUUAUAGUCUCUGGCAGGCACUUGUGAAGAGUGUGACUGAUUGACACUUUUUUGCCUUGGUUGCUGGGAAGCUCAGAUCUCCCCUCUGCAUGUCCCUUGCUUAGGACCUCCCAUGGUGUACUUGGAGUUGGGACCUCACCUGGCUCUCCCUUAUCUUUCCGGCUGCCAUUUUUUCCCCUUUCUAACUUUCUUUCCCAUACACUUAUUUGAAAUAUUAUCUCACGGUAACGAAAUAAAGUGUCUGUCACCUCCUGCUGUGUUGUCAUCUUGCAUGAGCUAUCUAAGUUCUCUGUUCUUCAGUUUCUGCAUCUGUAAAACGAUGACAAUGACAGAGCCAACCUCGCUUUGAGGAUCACAUGAGUUAAUAAAGGCCUGGCACACAGUUAGCACUCAAUAAAUGUUAGUUAUGAUUUUUAUUA